AUAGAGCUGUUAUUCAUGUUAUGUGCAUUUCUCAGUUGGAGAGGAUGUGGAAUGUUGUGAGAGGUGAUAUGCAUACAACUUAUUCCAUGAAAUGUUUUAAGUUGCUCAUAUUUCCUGAUGUUUGCAUGCUGGUACAUUAUUUUUUUUUGGUGAUAAAUGUGAAAUAUUACCAUGACAACCAAAUUGAUACACCUAAAGCUCA
Molecule: long non-coding RNA, 202 nt
Filed under: Nicotiana benthamiana
Lineage: Eukaryota; Viridiplantae; Streptophyta; Magnoliopsida; Solanales; Solanaceae
Description: long non-coding RNA (NBEN_LNC000096)
Source: RNAcentral